This 218-nucleotide non-coding RNA is filed under the name Clostridium sulfidigenes. RNAcentral describes it as "T-box sequence". It matches the Rfam family "T-box leader". From Rfam's summary of the family: Uncharged tRNA acts as the effector for transcription antitermination of genes in the T-box leader family. T-boxes are found upstream of many aminoacyl-tRNA synthetase genes and some amino acid biosynthetic genes usually in Gram-positive bacteria. The anticodon of a specific tRNA base pairs to a specifier sequence within the T-box motif, and the NCCA acceptor tail of the tRNA base pairs to a conserved bulge in the T-box antiterminator hairpin. The record is from RNAcentral. Lineage: Bacteria; Bacillati; Bacillota; Clostridia; Eubacteriales; Clostridiaceae.
AAAUUGACUGUGAUGAAGAGGAGUAAGAAUAUGAAAUAUUAAGAGAGGAAAAUCCAUGGGCUGAAAGGUUUUCUAUAGGAAGUAUUUUGAAGGUAGCUUCGGAGUUGCUUUAGCGAAAUUAAGUAGCUAGAGACGGUGGUUCCUCAUCGUUAAAAUUAAGAGAGUCUUAAAAGCAAUUUUGAGAAAUAAAGGUGGUAACGCGCGCUGUCGUCCUUUGG